UCAUUGUAUAGUUUACCCUUACCAAAAAAAUAAAUAAAAUAUGUUAUAAAGACACCUAGUAAUAUCUAGUUUAUACGUUUGAAUGCGUUUAAAUUGGGAUACCAAAUUAUUAGAAAAUGUAACUGGAAAAUUAGUUGAUAGAUUAGUGAUCAUAGGCGCAGGUCCAAGUGUAGAACAAUUAUUAGGUAUUCCAGAAUUGUAUGCAGGUACUGGAAUUGAAAUAUCAUCCGCAGUAUAUGAUACAAUAAAUAAUUGGUUAUUAACAGAUAAAAUACAAGCAUUUGUGUUUGACACAACUACGUCAAAUACUGGAAGACUGAAUGGCGCGUGCGUUUUUCUCGAACGAAAGCAAAAUAGGACGAGAAAUUUUGUAUUUUGGAUGUAGACAUCAUAUUUG
This is a non-coding RNA of Cinara cedri, 397 nucleotides long. The record is from the annotation of a GenBank genome assembly. NCBI's taxonomy places the organism in Eukaryota, Metazoa, Arthropoda, Insecta, Hemiptera, Aphididae.